This 206-nucleotide ribosomal RNA is filed under the name uncultured bacterium. Its description in RNAcentral is "partial 16S ribosomal RNA". It matches the Rfam family "Bacterial small subunit ribosomal RNA", at positions 568 to 774 of the family's 1533-position model. The record is from RNAcentral.
CACGUAGGCGGGUUGUUAAGUCAGGGGUGAAAUCCCGGAGCUCAACUCCGGAACUGCCUUUGAUACUGGCAAUCUAGAGACUGGAAGAGGUUAGUGGAAUUCCCAGUGUAGAGGUGAAAUUCGUAGAUAUUGGGAAGAACACCAGUGGCGAAGGCGGCUAACUGGUCCAGUACUGACGCUGAGGUGCGAAAGCGUGGGAGCAAACA